GAUGAACGCUGGCGGCGUGCCUAAUACAUGCAAGUCGAGCGAACGGACGAGAAGCUUGCUUCUCUGAUGUUAGCGGCGGACGGGUGAGUAACACGUGGAUAACCUACCUAUAAGACUGGGAUAACUUCGGGAAACCGGAGCUAAUACCGGAUAAUAUUUUGAACCGCAUGGUUCAAAAGUGAAAGACGGUCUUGCUGUCACUUAUAGAUGGAUCCGCGCUGCAUUAGCUAGUUGGUAAGGUAACGGCUUACCAAGGCAACGAUGCAUAGCCGACCUGAGAGGGUGAUCGGCCACACUGGAACUGAGACACGGUCCAGACUCCUACGGGAGGCAGCAGUAGGGAAUCUUCCGCAAUGGGCGAAAGCCUGACGGAGCAACGCCGCGUGAGUGAUGAAGGUCUUCGGAUCGUAAAACUCUGUUAUUAGGGAAGGACAUAUGUGUAAGUAACUGUGCACAUCUUGACGGUACCUAAUCAGAAAGCCACGGCUAACUACGUGCCAGCAGCCGCGGUAAUACGUAGGUGGCAAGCGUUAUCCGGAAUUAUUGGGCGUAAAGCGCGCGUAGGCGGUUUUUUAAGUCUGAUGUGAAAGCCCACGGCUCAACCGUGGAGGGUCAUUGGAAACUGGAAAACUUGAGUGCAGAAGAGGAAAGUGGAAUUCCAUGUGUAGCGGUGAAAUGCGCAGAGAUAUGGAGGAACACCAGUGGCGAAGGCGACUUUCUGGUCUGUAACUGACGCUGAUGUGCGAAAGCGUGGGGAUCAAACAGGAUUAGAUACCCUGGUAGUCCACGCCGUAAACGAUGAGUGCUAAGUGUUAGGGGGUUUCCGCCCCUUAGUGCUGCAGCUAACGCAUUAAGCACUCCGCCUAGGGAGUACGACCGCAAGGUUGAAACUCAAAGGAAUUGACGGGGACCCGCACAAGCGGUGGAGCAUGUGGUUUAAUUCGAAGCAACGCGAAGAACCUUACCAAAUCUUGACAUCCUUUGACAACUCUAGAGAUAGAGCCUUCCCCUUCGGGGGACAAAGUGACAGGUGGUGCAUGGUUGUCGUCAGCUCGUGUCGUGAGAUGUUGGGUUAAGUCCCGCAACGAGCGCAACCCUUAAGCUUAGUUGCCAUCAUUAAGUUGGGCACUCUAAGUUGACUGCCGGUGACAAACCGGAGGAAGGUGGGGAUGACGUCAAAUCAUCAUGCCCCUUAUGAUUUGGGCUACACACGUGCUACAAUGGACAAUACAAAGGGCAGCGAAACCGCGAGGUCAAGCAAAUCCCAUAAAGUUGUUCUCAGUUCGGAUUGUAGUCUGCAACUCGACUACAUGAAGCUGGAAUCGCUAGUAAUCGUAGAUCAGCAUGCUACGGUGAAUACGUUCCCGGGUCU
RNAcentral lists this ribosomal RNA (1372 nucleotides) under uncultured bacterium. RNAcentral's name for it is "bacterial SSU rRNA". It matches the Rfam family "Bacterial small subunit ribosomal RNA", at positions 28 to 1381 of the family's 1533-position model. The record is from RNAcentral.